This 253-nucleotide ribosomal RNA is filed under the name uncultured Cytophaga sp. RNAcentral's name for it is "partial 16S ribosomal RNA". It matches the Rfam family "Bacterial small subunit ribosomal RNA", at positions 524 to 776 of the family's 1533-position model. Lineage: Bacteria; Pseudomonadati; Bacteroidota; Cytophagia; Cytophagales; Cytophagaceae. The record is from RNAcentral.
UACGUAGGUGGCAAGCGUUGUCCGGAUUUAUUGGGUUUAAAGGGUGCGUAGGCGGCAUUAUAAGUCAGUGGUGAAAGCCGAUCGCUUAACGAUCGAACUGCCAUUGAUACUGUAGUGCUUGAGUAUAGUUGAGGUAGGCGGAAUUGACGGUGUAGCGGUGAAAUGCAUAGAUAUUGUCAAGAACACCAAUUGCGAAGGCAGCUUACUAAAGUAUAACUGACGCUGAGGCACGAAAGUGCGGGGAUCAAACAGG